Molecule: non-coding RNA, 622 nt
Organism: Cajanus cajan (pigeon pea)
Lineage: Eukaryota; Viridiplantae; Streptophyta; Magnoliopsida; Fabales; Fabaceae
Source: RefSeq, a predicted model, not a curated record
UUCCCAUCAUCUGAUUGCUCUGAUCCAUUUCUCAUCAACUCUUUCAUCCUAAUAGGCUUAAGGAGAUAAUCACAUGCUCCAUGUUGAACGCCUUUCAUGACCCUGCUUGUUUCUCCAUCAACAGACAUCACUGAACAGCAUUGUAAAGUGCAAUUUGUCAGAGUAUGGAGUUUCAAUCAAUGUGAUCAAAGGACUACAAUGAUAUCAUAUAACGAAAAUCUGGAAUAUAUUAUUGAUAGAGAACUGACUAAUGAAAGGAAGAUCCAUCUCAAGCCCAACAAGCUCAAGAAGUUUAAAACCAUCCAUGUCAGGCAUGUUUACGUCGCUGAUCACUAUAUCAUAUCCAUCUUUCCUUUCACGAAGCAAGUUUAGAGCAUGCCUUGCUAAACAACAUGUAGUCACUGAAGCAAAUGAAAGAAGAGUCAGAAUGACCUUAAGAAAUCAACUAUCAUAACAGAGAAUAAAUAAAGGAUGUAAUAUGUAUUUUGCUCUCCGAAAUUUGCUAAUUCUUUGAAAUCUCACUUAAAUGAAUGACAGAAGAAAAAGAAAAGGCAAUCGGUGACAAGAAUUGGAAACUAGUUGUGAGACAUAAAAUAAAAAGCUUUAAAUGUCUUCAGUUUCA